CCUACGGGAGGCAGCAGUGGGGAAUUUUGGACAAUGGGCGCAAGCCUGAUCCAGCAAUGCCGCGUGAGUGAAGAAGGCCUUCGGGUUGUAAAGCUCUUUUGUCAGGGAAGAAACGGCAGUUUCUAAUAUAGAUUGCUAAUGACGGUACCUGAAGAAUAAGCACCGGCUAACUACGUGCCAGCAGCCGCGGUAAUACGUAGGGUGCAAGCGUUAAUCGGAAUUACUGGGCGUAAAGCGUGCGCAGGCGGUUUUGUAAGUUUGUCGUGAAAUCCCCGGGCUCAACCUGGGAAUGGCGAUGAAGACUGCAAGGCUAGAAUCUGGCAGAGGGGGGUAGAAUUCCACGUGUAGCAGUGAAAUGCGUAGAGAUGUGGAGGAACACCGAUGGCGAAGGCAGCCCCCUGGGUCAAGAUUGACGCUCAUGCACGAAAGCGUGGGGAGCAAACAGGAUUAGAUACCCUGGUAGUCCACGCCCUAAACGAUGUCUACUAGUUGUCGGUUUAAGUUAACUUAGGUAACGUACAGNUACGACGUGAGAGACGACCGCGGAGGUACGGUCGGUCGAGAAGUUAAACGUUAAACGUUAAACGUUAAGUAAGUUAGACGGCGUGAGACGCGACGACGGACGACGACGGAGGAGGAGG
This 641-nucleotide ribosomal RNA is filed under the name uncultured bacterium. Its description in RNAcentral is "bacterial SSU rRNA". The stretch from base 1 to 545 matches the Rfam family "Bacterial small subunit ribosomal RNA", at positions 338 to 873 of the family's 1533-position model. The record is from RNAcentral.